Callorhinchus milii (elephant shark) is the source of this 1920-nucleotide long non-coding RNA. RefSeq lists it as uncharacterized. The record is from RefSeq and is a predicted model, not a curated record. The transcript is spliced from 3 exons. Lineage: Eukaryota; Metazoa; Chordata; Chondrichthyes; Chimaeriformes; Callorhinchidae.
GGUGGCGGAGCGGAGCCAAGAUGGCGGCGGGAGAGGACCGAGGCCUCGGGGGCGGCCCGGGAGGGACACUACCUGCCAGGAUGCCGGACAUUACACAGCCCGGAACUACCCGUGUUUAAAGCUGAGGAGGAGACCCACCCCCCGCCCCGGUAGCUCCAGCGGCACCGUUAUCGACCUCGUUCUCUCUGCACUCAGCACGUUGGAGCAGCGAUGGGCAACCUGGGGUUGGAAGUGGCCCCCGGGGCCAUCAAGCAGCGGCCCCUGGACAUCCGCACGAGUCUCGUGCCGAGGCCCAGAGAGAGGGUGUGAUUGUCUCUCGGGAUGACAACUGUUGGAGCAGUGGGACGGGAGCAGAGUUCCCGAGCAGCAAAUCUCUGGAAGGAAAUGGAUUUCAGCGAACCAGGAACCCGAGCAGCUGGUAACCAGCUGGAGUGAGGGGAGUGGGUGCUGCGCCCCAGAGACCUGCCGGUACUGACUGGAGAGGCAGAGGUGAAUGUGGCAGUGAUGGGGGGAGAGAGAGACGAGUGCCAGCCCCAGCUAAAACAACACCACUCUGUGCUCUGAGCCCCCACCUUGUGACUUUUCAAAUCAACACCAAUGUCAGCACCCCAACUGCAGAACUACACAGCAUAGCCGCGCGGGGGGAGUGUGUGCUCAUUCUCUGAAAGGCGUGUGCUUAGCGGAAUAACUUAGCUUUGGAUAAAAUAACAAAAUACCUCCUGAGUUUCUAAAGCCAUAAAAUAUUAAGCAUUACUAACUAUUACUAGCAAUAACUUUUUGUGCAUGCAUCAGUACUUUAUGCUGUAUAACAGAGGUGUAGAAGGAAGUGGCUGACUUAUUUGGCCAAAUAAUCUUGAUCUUAAUCUAACCCUUAGGCACGGAUUUAACUUAACAGCAUUUGUUUUUUGUCUCUUAAAAAAAACUUUUUAUCGUUUCUGAAGUACAAAAUGGCCGACUUUUGGGGUCAUUACCACUCAAAAGUCGCCAUUUUAUACAUAAAAAAUGAUAAUAUUAACAAAUGCUGAUAUUGUGUCAAUCUUUUUAUUUCAAAAAAUUGAAAGCUGGUUACAGUAAGUAAGUGGGAACCGAGCCUCGGUGGACGCAGGCCUCAGAUGGCUGGUUUGUUGGUUCAGGUCUGCCCCCAGGCCCGAUCCCCACCUGUCACAGGAACCACAGCCAAACCAGCAGGUUACCAUUCAACAUGGUGUAAAGUGUGUUCGGUCAGGAGCUAGAUGGAGGGAAAGUCAGGUUAAUGUUCUAAGUCUGAGCAUUCAGCAAUAAGGAUGCAAUUUAGAUUUCCUGCAUCUUGCAGUCAAUGGGAAACGGGUUGUGAUAUGGCCACUCUGUCCUUGACGUGACUCUGUAAACCUGCUCCCAGCGGUGGGGGUGGGGGUUGUUAUUUCCUUGUGCGGUUGUGGGACUGGAAAAUGUCGCAUUAGAGUGGACGAGAGUCAUUCUGAAGUUGGACUUGUUAGAGAACAGUGAAGAGGGAGCUUUACUCUGUGUGCAACCUGUGUUGCUGGAACUGGGUGCUCUGUACCUGGAUGUGGAUUAGCUGGUUAGUGAUCGAGUAACUUGCUCUCACUGUUCGCAUCCAAGAAUUGAGGUGGCAGCUGAACCAGUUACUCUUUUUUGUGAGGAGGGGAGCUGAAUCCUCUGGCUGCCCCGAUCGGUGUGUUGUCAAGGCAUAUCCUGUCUGUAACCUGCUUUCUAUAUUAUAUUUUAAUGGGGAGCGGAGUUAAAAUGCAAUGAUUACAGUGCAUGAGGCAGCUUGCAUUAAACUAUGCAUUUCUGAGAGAUGAGCAGGUUUGUGUGACUCAUUCACUGUUGUAGAAUGAGCUGUGGAGCAGUGAUUGCUCUAACCUCACCUCUGUACAGAACAAACAGCAAUAAAAUACCCGAGUGCCAAGGGUCACUAGA